GUCACUAUGUCCGAGUGGUUAAGGAGUAUGACUAGAAAUCAUAUGGGCUCCGCCCGCACAGGUUCAAAUCCUGUUGGUGACG
Molecule: transfer RNA, 82 nt
Filed under: Rhizopus delemar RA 99-880
Lineage: Eukaryota; Fungi; Mucoromycota; Mucoromycetes; Mucorales; Rhizopodaceae
Also listed under: 2 other names
Description: tRNA-Ser (AGA) (tRNA-Ser-AGA-2-1)
Rfam family: tRNA
About the family: Transfer RNA (tRNA) molecules are approximately 80 nucleotides in length. Their secondary structure includes four short double-helical elements and three loops (D, anti-codon, and T loops). Further hydrogen bonds mediate the characteristic L-shaped molecular structure. tRNAs have two regions of fundamental functional importance: the anti-codon, which is responsible for specific mRNA codon recognition, and the 3' end, to which the tRNAs corresponding amino acid is attached (by aminoacyl-tRNA synthetases). tRNAs cope with the degeneracy of the genetic code in two manners: having more than one tRNA (with a specific anti-codon) for a particular amino acid; and 'wobble' base-pairing, i.e. permitting non-standard base-pairing at the 3rd anti-codon position.
Source: Rfam by way of RNAcentral